UCCAGGCCAGAAUACUGGAGUGGGUUACCAUUUCCUUCUCCAGAGAGGUCUGAAAAAGAACAAUCAUUUGUGGAGAAUGGUGGCUCCGUCUGAAUGCUUGUAGCUUUAGGAGAGACUCUGUAAAUUCCCCUAACCCAGUUGAAGGAUAAAGGAGGACUUUGAGCUGAUUGUUGAGUACAGAAAGAGUUAGGUAGGCAAAAUGAGGCAAGAAGAGCCUUCUAGGCAGAACUUGUACAGAGAGAGAUCCAGAGGUACUGAAAAAUGAGGCUACUGAGGAGGUUUUGCAAUGAAGCUGAAGUUUCAGGACAUGUCAUUUGUACUCCCCUGUUCAAGGCACGUAACUAAUUUUUGUAUUUUUCUUUAAAAGACCAUCUCCCGAAUUUUGUAAGCUUCAGGGCACAUUACUUUUCCAACAAAGGUCCGUCUAGUCAAAGCUAUGGUUUUUCCAGUAGUCAUGUAUGGAUGUGAGAGUUGGGCUAUAAAGAAAACUGAGCAGGCCGGAGCCUGCGACCUAGUGGGAGUGGAGUGGAGCAGCUGUUGUUGCCGACUCUUUCCUCCUCCCCACGGUCCGGUCAGCGGGUUGAUUAGGCCAUCGGCCCUCAAGCCGAGACUUGUCUCUUAUUUAGUUCUGGGAAGCGCCUGGCCGACAUGAAUGAUGUAGAGGAGAACAACUUCGAGGGCAGAGAGUCUCGCUCUCAGUCAAAAUCUCCAAUGGGAUCUCCUGCUCGUGUAAAAUGGAGAGCAGGUCAGGAUCUCGUAGUCCAUCAAGGGUUUCCAAACACUCUGAAUCCCAUUCUCGAUCAAGAUCAAAAUCCAGGUCGAGGUCAAGGAGGCAUUCUCAUAAACGUUACAGUCGAUCCAGAUCCCAUUCUCACUCUCAUAGGAGACGAUCUCGAAGUAGGUCAUAUACACCAGAAUACCGGCGUCGAAGGAGCCGAAGUCAUUCUCCAAUGUCUAACCGGAGAAGACAUACAGGCAGCAGGGCAAAUCCUGAUCCCAAUACUUGUCUAGGAGUGUUUGGCCUCAGUUUGUACACAACAGAGAGAGAUCUUCGCGAAGUAUUUUCUCGAUAUGGACCGUUGAGUGGUGUCAAUGUGGUUUAUGACCAGCGAACUGGACGGUCACGGGCAUUUGCUUUUGUUUAUUUCGAGAGAAUAGAUGACUCAAAGGAGGCUAUAGAAAGGGCAAAUGGAAUGGAACUGGAUGGUAGAAGAAUUCGGGUGGAUUAUUCUAUCACCAAGAGAGCACACACACCAACACCAGGCAUAUACAUGGGCAGACCAACUCACGGUGGUGGCGGUGGUGGCGGUGGUGGAGGUGGGGGAGGUGGCAGACGUCGAGAUUCUUACUAUGAUCGAGGAUAUGAUCGUGGGUACAACAGAUAUGAAGACUAUGAUUACCGGUACAGAAGAAGAUCACCUUCUCCUUAUUAUAGUCGAUACAGAUCACGAUCAAGAUCUCGAUCCUACAGCCCAAGACGCUAUUAAUAAGCAGAGCAGUUGCAGUUGAGGACAUCUUUUUUUCUUUUUUUAAUUCUGGAUUUCCCCAAGCUUCUAAUCCUUUCUACUCCUCAAAAAGAACCCUUAAAAAAUCUUUGGUUUGUUUAGCAUCUACACUUUGUCAAUUGUAUUGCUAUUUUCCACCCCUUUUAUUAUAUUCUUAAAAAUGUAAUUGUCAUUUUUGAGUAGUUAAACAUCUUGAGUAAAAAAGGAACCCCCCCCCCCGUGUUAUGCUUUGUAAAUGAUUUUUUUGUUUGUUUUUUGCUUUUAUGGAAAAUUCACUCCUAGCUUAUCAAAAUGAGGAAAGAAAUGAUCUUUUUAGAGCUUCUUUUGUGUUAUAUAUUGUAUUAGACAUUGUAUUAGAGGUCUGCAUUUACUACAGACUCCUUUUUUAACUUUCUUUUGGGGAAGUUAGUUGUAGUUCAGUCAGGUCAAGUUUGUCUGGGGUGGCAUGGAGCAGUCAAAUAGUUGAGUAUAGAAAGUUUGAAGCUAUAGAAGAAAAUACUUACUUGGUCAUUUCUUUUGAAGAACGUAAUUUUUGAACCCUAAAAAUUACUUCUUUUUUUAGAAAUGAAAAGCUUGUGGACUCCUAUAAAACAUGUUGUAUUUAAAAUACAUUUGUUGAAACUUA
RNA transcript from Capra hircus (goat), 2130 nucleotides. It is a transcript of the gene named transformer-2 protein homolog alpha pseudogene, with no coding region annotated. The transcript has a single exon. NCBI's taxonomy places the organism in Eukaryota, Metazoa, Chordata, Mammalia, Artiodactyla, Bovidae. The record is from RefSeq and is a predicted model, not a curated record.